RNAcentral lists this ribosomal RNA (253 nucleotides) under uncultured bacterium. RNAcentral describes it as "partial 16S ribosomal RNA". It matches the Rfam family "Bacterial small subunit ribosomal RNA", at positions 524 to 776 of the family's 1533-position model. The record is from RNAcentral.
UACGUAGGUGGCGAGCGUUGUCCGGAUUUAUUGGGCGUAAAGCGCGCGCAGGUGGUGCGGUAAGUCUGUCGUGAAAUCUCCCGGCUCAACUGGGAGGGUGCGGUGGAGACUGCCGGACUGGAGGCACUCAGAGGCCGGUGGAAUUCCCGGUGUAGUGGUGAAAUGCGUAGAGAUCGGGAGGAACACCGGUGGCGAAGGCGGCGUUCUGGACUGCAACUGACACUGAGAAACGAAAGCCAGGGUAGCAAACGGG